This 414-nucleotide ribosomal RNA is filed under the name uncultured bacterium. Its description in RNAcentral is "bacterial SSU rRNA". It matches the Rfam family "Bacterial small subunit ribosomal RNA", at positions 355 to 775 of the family's 1533-position model. The record is from RNAcentral.
UGGGGAAUAUUGCACAAUGGGCGCAAGCCUGAUGCAGCGACGCCGCGUGAGGGAUGACGGCCUUCGGGUUGUAAACCUCUUUCAGUAGGGAACAAGGCCCCUUGGGGUUGAGGGUACCUGCAGAAGAAGCGCCGGCUAACUACGUGCCAGCAGCCGCGGUAAUACGUAGGGCGCAAGCGUUGUCCGGAAUUAUUGGGCGUAAAGAGCUCGUAGGCGGUUUGUCGCGUCUGCUGUGAAAACGCGGGGCUUAACCCCGCGCCUGCAGUGGGUACGGGCAGACUAGAGUGCGGUAGGGGAGACUGGAAUUCCUGGUGUAGCGGUGGAAUGCGCAGAUAUCAGGAGGAACACCGGUGGCGAAGGCGGGUCUCUGGGCCGUUACUGACGCUGAGGAGCGAAAGCAUGGGGAGCGAACAG